RNAcentral lists this ribosomal RNA (253 nucleotides) under uncultured bacterium. RNAcentral describes it as "partial 16S ribosomal RNA". It matches the Rfam family "Bacterial small subunit ribosomal RNA", at positions 524 to 776 of the family's 1533-position model. The record is from RNAcentral.
UACAGAGGGGGCAAGCGUUGUUCGGAAUUACUGGGCGUAAAGGGCGCGUAGGCGGCCAACUAAGUCGAACGUGAAAUCCCCGGGCUCAACCCGGGAACUGCGUCCGAUACUGGCAGGCUUGAAUCCGGGAGAGGGAUGCGGAAUUCCAGGUGUAGCGGUGAAAUGCGUAGAUAUCUGGAGGAACACCGGUGGCGAAGGCGGCAUCCUGGACCGGCAUUGACGCUGAGGCGCGAAAGCCAGGGGAGCAAACGGG